Molecule: non-coding RNA, 89 nt
Submitted as: unclassified sequences
Source: Rfam
GUUGUUUGAAGUGGACAAUUGUGCCCUCCACACACCUACUAAUAAAUAGGUCAAAAGAGAUGUAGGAUUUGGCACACCUACCAAAUAGC